UACGAAGGGGGCUAGCGUUGUUCAGAAUUACUGGGCGUAAAGGGCGCGUAGGCGGCCUAUCAAGUCAGAUGUGAAAGCCCUGGGCUUAACCUAGGAGGUGCAUUUGAUACUGAUGGGCUUGAGAUCGAGAGAGGAGAGUGGAAUUGCGAGUGUAGAGGUGAAAUUCGUAGAUAUUCGCAAGAACACCGGUGGCGAAGGCGACUCUCUGGCUCGAUACUGACGCUAAGGCGCGAAAGCGUGGGGAGCAAACAGG
This 253-nucleotide ribosomal RNA is filed under the name uncultured bacterium. RNAcentral's name for it is "partial 16S ribosomal RNA". It matches the Rfam family "Bacterial small subunit ribosomal RNA", at positions 524 to 776 of the family's 1533-position model. The record is from RNAcentral.